GAUGAACGCUGGCGGCGUGCCUAAUACAUGCAAGUCGAGCGAACAGACGAGGAGCUUGCUCCUCUGACGUUAGCGGCGGAUGGGUGAGUAACACGUGGAUAACCUACCUAUAAGACUGGGAUAACUUCGGGAAACCGGAGAUAACACCGGAUAAUAUAUUGAACCGCAUGGUUCUACAGUGAAAGAGGGUUUUGCUGUGCCUUAUAGAUGGUUCCGCGCCGCAUUAGCUAGUUGGUAAGGUAACGGCUUACCAAGGCAACGAUGCGUAGCCGACCUGAGAGGGUGAUCAGCCACACUGGAACUGAGACACGGUCCAGACUCCUACGGGAGGCAGCAGUAGGGAAUCUUCCGCAAUGGGCGAAAGCUUGACGGAGCAACGCCGCGUGAGUGAUGAAGGUCUUCGGAUCGUAAAACUCUGUUAGUAGGGAAGAACAGAUGUAUAAGUAACUAUGGACGUCUUGACGGUACCUAAACAGAAAGCCACGGCUAACUACGUG
RNAcentral lists this ribosomal RNA (497 nucleotides) under uncultured bacterium. RNAcentral's name for it is "partial 16S ribosomal RNA". It matches the Rfam family "Bacterial small subunit ribosomal RNA", at positions 28 to 507 of the family's 1533-position model. The record is from RNAcentral.